AAUUUUUGCUUUUUAAGUGCACUUUUUAAAUUAUCUUAUCUAAUCAGAACGUUCCUUCUAAUGGCCAAUGGAAUUACCCUGAGGCUGGCAGCAGCUUGGGAGGACCCUUAACCAGGAAUGGAGUUCAACCCAGGUUUCUCUCUGACUAUCUCUGGCUGCAAAAUGGGGUGCAGCGUGUUUUGUCUGACCACAUUUCGGGUCAUCUAAUCUGAUGAUUAUUAAGCCUAGCCCUCAGGACAUGAAACAAGUAAAUAUGGUAAAAUAUUUUUUGCUGUUCUUUGAAAAUAUUUACAGCUCCCAGAACCUUUCGUUUUUGAGCAAUUGUGCUGGAAUUUGGUGAGCUGGACUUUUUAAAAGUUUCUUUGUUACCUGGCUCUUAAAAAGGAGCCCCACAGUGGCCACUGUAAUUUCAAAUUAUCCCGGGUUAUCUUGCCAGCCAUUAACAGCUAUCCUAAUUUCGUUAAGCACUUGCAAGUCACAGCAUGAAGCGGGCAAGAGUUCUGAGGUGAGGCCGCCCAUUCUGGAACUGGUCAGCUUUUAGAAGCUUGAUUUCCCAUAAUUCUUUUGGUUUUGUUUUGCUAUAAAGUCUGAACAAUUCCUAGGGACAGUGUAGUGCAUCAGAAAUAUGCUGCUUGUGUUACUCCCUAAAGAAAGGUCCUAAUUACUCUCUUGCGUGCCUUAGUUUCUCCAGCCAGCAGUCUAAAACCACCAUGAGGCUUGGAGCUCGGGUGACCAACCCUCAUAUGAGCUUCCCCAGAUGAGCCUUUAAUUAAUUAACGUGAAUGAUAGUGGAGUUCCCUAUGGGACCGCUACACAUCCUGAGGAUUUGACCCUCCAACACUUCUGCUAAGGUUCUCAGUCACCUGAGAACGCCUUUCAGCCAGGAGGAGCAAUGUCCCUUUUCUUUGGAGCUGAACACAUCAGUCUCUCAUUUUCCUAUCAAGCAGUUUAUUCAGACUUUAUAUAAAUGCAAUUCUUUGCAAUUUAAAGCCAAGUUAAAAAGAUCAGCUUUCCCCAUUCACCUCAAAGUUCCUUCUAGGCUCCCCUGGCCUAGGAAAUUCUCUCUAGGUUCCUCAGUCCUCAGAAGUCCCCCUAAGUUCCUCAGUCCUCGGAAGUCCCCCUAGGUUCCUCAGUGCUAGGAAGUCCCCCUAGGUUCCUCAGUGCUAGGAAGUACCCCUAGGUUCCUCAGUCCUCGGAAGUCCCCCUAGGUUCCUCAGUGCUAGGAAGUCCCCCUAGGUUCCUCAGUCCUAGGAAGUCCCCCUAGGUUCCUCUUAGCUAGAGUAUGUACUAGUAUCCCCUAAGACACCUAGUCUUAAGGUUUGAAACAGCUCAUAUAAACUCUGGACCAUCAACUUAAAAUAAGGAGGUCAGUCUGGGUUUCAGGAGGAUGCACCAAGGUCACCAGAGGAAUGCAGUGAUCCGGGGGUCUCAAUGGGCCCCUAUUGAUACCAAGUGCUGGUUCAGUGUAGAUUCCAGGUGGUCUCCAGUGGGUUUCUCUGAAAUCUUGCUGCGGCUACACCAAGAAAUGUCAAUGCAAAUAAUCCAUAACCAAUCUAUAAAUCAAAAUCGGGGUGAGUCUAUUAUGAGCCAAAUUGAGGAUUAUAACCCAGGAAGGGCUUAGAAGGCGUUCCAGAGAAACAUGAGUUUCAGUACAGUCUUACAUCUUUUUAGCACAAAGAGGAUACAUUAUAUACACCCAGGACACAUUUUCAAAGAGGUAUUCAAUUGCAAAUUAGCAGGUCAACAUGACCCUGAUGCCAGGAAAGGGACUAAUAUGGGUGUUACCAAUAGGGCAUUACCAAUAGGGUGUAGAUGGAGAAGUAUGCAUUCUUUAUCUCAAGAGGGAUUCUUUCUUUAACGGAUAGGCAGAUGUACAAUGGAUGUUCCAUAGGACAUAAGUCAGGCUUUCUAGUUCAAGCCGAAUCAGUUUUGAACUCAAAUAGUGACCCUAUAUACCUCAAUAUGUGAAAAUCUCUUGUCAGUGGUUGAUAGCUGGACUCUGAAAUUAAAAGGGCACAAAGGGUGAGUCAAGUAAUUUAACCCAUCUCACUCUCUGGGUGUAUUAAGAUGAGGGUUAUUUUUUAAGUUUUUAUCUUUUUAGACCAAUUUUAGGUUUAAAGCAAAAUUGGUACAUUUUUACCAAGGAUGAACCUACAUUGAUAUACCAUAAUCACCUACAGUCUAUAGUUUACCUUAGGGUUCACUCUUGGUGUGGUACAUUCUAUGCGUUUGAACAUACAUAUAAUGACAUGUAUCCACCAUUAUACUAUCAUACAGAGUAUUUUCACUGCCCUAAAAAUCCUCCGUCCUCUGCCUAUUCCUCUAACCCCUCUACACCUCCACCCCUGGCAAUCACUGUUCUUUUUAUUGUUUCCAUAGUUUUGCUUUUUCCAGAAUGUCAUAUACUUGGAUCAUGUGAUACAUAGGCUUUUCAUACUGAUUUAUUUCACUUAGUAAUAUGCAUUUAAAUUUACUCCAGGUCUUGGUCUUUUCACAGCUCGAUGGCUCAUUUCUUUGUAUUGCCAAAUAAUCUUUCAUUGUCUGGAUAUACCACAGUUUAGUUAUCCAUUCACCUACUAAAGGAUAUGUUGGGUGCUUCCAAGUUUUGGCAAUUAUGAAUAAAGCUGCUAUAAACACUCAUAUGCAGGUUUUUGUGUGAAAUAAAAGGAGUUUAUUUCAACUCCUUUGGGUAAAUACCAAGAAGUGUGAGUUCUGGAUCAUAUGGUAAGAAUAUGCUUAGUUUCGUAUGAAACAGCGAACUGUCUUCCAAAGUGGUUGUAGCAUUUUGCAUUUCUACCAGGAUUGUAUGAGAGUUCCUGUUGUUCCACAUCCUUGUUGUCAUUUGGUGUUGUCAAUGUUCUGGAUUUUAGCCCUUCUAAUAGAUGUGUAGUGGUAUCACAUUGUUGUUUUACUUUGCAUUUCCCUGAUGAUCUUGAGCAUCUUUUCAUAUGCUUAUUUGUCAGCUGUACAUCUUCUUUGGUGAGGUGUCUGUUAAGGUCUUUGGCCCAUUUUUUAAUUCAAGUUCUUCAUUUUCUUACUGUGGAGUCUUAAGAGUUCUUUGUGUAUUUUGGAUAACAGUUCUUUAUCAAAUGUGUCUUUUGCAAUUAUCUUUUCCCAGUCUUUGGCUUGUCUUCUAAUUCUCUUGACAUUGUCUUUCACAGAACAGAAGUUUUUAAUUUAAUGAAGUCCAGUUUAUCAAUUAUUCUUUUCAUGGAUCAUGUCUUUGGUGUUGCAUCCCUAUACCCAAGGUAUAUCUUCCUGACCUUAGUGGGAAAACUGCUAGUUUCUCACCAUUAAGUAUGAUGUUAACUGUGGGUGUUUGUAGGUAGUCUUUAUCAAGUUGAGAAAGUUUCCCUGUAUUUCUAGUUUUCUAAGAUUUUUAUCAUGAAUGGGUGUUGAAUUUCGUCAAAUGCUUUUUUUGUAUCUAUUGAUAUGAUUUUUCUUUUUUAGCCUGUUGAUGUGAUGGAUUACAUUAAUUGAUUUUUGAAAAUGUUGAACUAGCCUUGCAUACCUGGAAUAAAUCUCAAUUGGUCAUGGUGUGUAAUUCUUUUUAUGCUUUUUUGGAUGUAAUUUGCUAACACUUUGUUGAGAAUUUUUGCCUUUUUGUUUAUGAGAGAUAUUGGUCUGUAGUUUUCCUUUAUUGUAAUGUUUUUGUCUGGUUUUGGUAUUAAGGUAACCUCAACUCUUUCUCUGACCUCAUAGAAAGAAUUAGAAGGUACUCACUCUGCUUCUAUCCUCUGAAAGAGAUUGUAGAGAAUUGGUGUAAUUUCUUCCUUAAGUGUUUGGUAGAAUCCACCAGUGAAUCUAUCUGGGCCUGAUGCUUUCUGUUUUGGAAGGUAAUCAAUUAUUGAUUCAAGUUCUUUAAUAGAUAUAGGCCUAUUCAGAUCAUCUAUUUCUUCUCCUUCUUCUUUUUUUUUUUUAAAGAUUGG
Long non-coding RNA from Equus caballus (horse), 3929 nucleotides. The record is from Ensembl. NCBI's taxonomy places the organism in Eukaryota, Metazoa, Chordata, Mammalia, Perissodactyla, Equidae.